UACGAACCGUACAAACGUUAUUCGGAAUCACUGGGCUUAAAGGGUGCGUAGGCGGCCAUGUAAGUGAGGUGUGAAAUCCCUCGGCUCAACCGAGGAACUGCGCUUCAUACUGCAUGGCUUGAGGGAGACAGGGGGUAAGCGGAACUGAUGGUGGAGCGGUGAAAUGCGUUGAUAUCAUCAGGAACACCGGUGGCGAAAGCGGCUUACUGGGUCUCUUCUGACGCUGAGGUACGGAAAGCUAGGGUAGCGAACGGGG
Molecule: ribosomal RNA, 256 nt
Filed under: uncultured bacterium
Lineage: Bacteria
Description: partial 16S ribosomal RNA
Rfam family: Bacterial small subunit ribosomal RNA
Source: RNAcentral